GAUGAACGCUGGCGGCGUGCCUAAUACAUGCAAGUAGAACGCUGAGGGAGGAGCUUGCUCUUCUGGAUGAGUUGCGAACGGGUGAGUAACGCGUGGGUAACCUGCCUGGUAGCGGGGGAUAACUAUUGGAAACGAUGGCUAAUACCGCAUGACAACAGUUGUUGCAUGGUAACUGUUGAAAAGGGGCAACUGCUCCACUACCAGAUGGACCUGCGUUGUAUUAGCUAGUUGGUGAGGUAUCGGCUCACCAAGGCGACGAUACAUAGCCGACCUGAGAGGGGGAGCGGCCACACUGGGACGGAGACACGGCCCAGACGCCCAAGGGAGGCAGCAGUAGGGAAUCUUCGGCAAUGGACGGAAGUCUGACCGAGCAACGCCGCGGGAGUGAAGAAGGGUGUCGGAUCGUAAAGCUCGGUUGUAAGGGAAGAAAGAGUGUGAGAGUGGAAAGUUCACACUGUGACGGUAGCUGAUCAGAAAGGGACGGCUAACUACGUG
Molecule: ribosomal RNA, 495 nt
Filed under: uncultured bacterium
Lineage: Bacteria
Description: partial 16S ribosomal RNA
Rfam family: Bacterial small subunit ribosomal RNA
Source: RNAcentral